GACGAACGCUGGCGGCGUGCUUAACACAUGCAAGUCGAACGGUAAGGCCCCUCGGGGUACACGAGUGGCGAACGGGUGAGUAACACGUGGGUGAUCUGCCCUGCACUUCGGGAUAAGCCUGGGAAACUGGGUCUAAUACCGGAUAGGACCACUGCCUGCAUGGGUGGUGGUGGAAAGCUUUUGCGGCGUGGGAUGGGCCCGCGGCCUAUCAGCUUGUUGGUGGGGUGAUGGCCUACCAAGGCGACGACGGGUAGCCGGCCGGAGAGGGUGACCGGCCACACUGGGACUGAGAUACGGCCCAGACUCCUACGGGAGGCAGCAGUGGGGAAUAUUGCACAAUGGGCGCAAGCCUGAUGCAGCGACGCCGCGUGAGGGAUGACGGCCUUCGGGUUGUAAACCUCUUUCAGCACCGACGAAGCGCAAGUGACGGUAGGUGCAGAAGAAGGACCGGCCAACUACGUGCCAGCCGCCGCCGUAA
This 478-nucleotide ribosomal RNA is filed under the name uncultured bacterium. RNAcentral describes it as "partial 16S ribosomal RNA". It matches the Rfam family "Bacterial small subunit ribosomal RNA", at positions 28 to 523 of the family's 1533-position model. The record is from RNAcentral.